Molecule: long non-coding RNA, 1982 nt
Organism: Helianthus annuus (common sunflower)
Lineage: Eukaryota; Viridiplantae; Streptophyta; Magnoliopsida; Asterales; Asteraceae
Exons: 3
Source: RefSeq, a predicted model, not a curated record
CAAAUUUGCUAGGUUUGAGUCUUCCUGCAUCAUUCACAUAUACUAUUGGUUUUGCAACCCAAUGGUGAUCAGUUUUUCCUUAUUGCUACAUACCAGGGACUAUUUUACUUACAAACAUAUUAAAACGGUUUACACACACAGACUUACACAUGAACUCGCUCAACUUUUUGUUGACUUUUUAAACUACAUGUAUCUCAGGGAGUUAAUUGGAUCUGGCAAGUGACGCAUGUUAGCUGCGUACUUAAUAAGGAUGUCAUCCAGAGUUGUAGGGUUUGGGAAGUGCAACUCCUUCCUGGACGAGUUGCAUGUCUCUUAUCCUUGUUUUGUUGCUAGUCUUUCGUUGAGUCUUACGAACUCGUUUUAAACAAGUAAUGUUUUGUAAUGCAUUUUGUGGUUGAGACAAUAUGUUAUGCAUUUUUAACUAUUUUAAUGGAUGAACAUCAUAUAUUUUUUUAUCAUAUAACAUUGUUGUGAUUGUUUCUAUGUUAUUAAGACGUCACACCAAAUAAACCCACGCUUCCGCAAAAGCCAGGGUGUGACAAUAUAUGAAGACAUCCUUUAAGUAUGGAGCCUUAGAUCAUCUUCAUCAUUUCAAGUUCACCCUCACUCUUCACUCACUCUCUCUCUCUUUCGGCUCACCCCAAACCGCCACCAUCACCACCAUUUUUACAUCACCAUCUUCAUCAUAUUCAAGCUCCAUUCAAGCCUUGAAGGUGAUUCAUGGAGGUUGCAAGUUGAGGAACAUUCAAGGGAGCUUUGUUCUAGUCUUGUUCAUCAUCUUUUCUCAUCAUCUUUGCACUAGAUUCUACCCUAGCCUUGUGCUAGUAGUCGUCGCAUAGCAGACAGUGUUCGGAUUGACGACUCGAUUCAGAUGACGCAGUACAACGCUAUGUCUUCAUCGAGUAGGGUCUCUGUCCCAGUGCCGGUAGAUUCUGACGACCCGAUGCACUCAGACCCGGAGAUCUACACAUAGACCCUCAUUUUGCGGACACCCGUAAUGGGUGGAUCGAGGAGGAUAACUACCCUCCGUAUGUGGUACCAGUCACUCCUCCUACGGCACCUGUUACUGCACCACUUGAUAUCCCAUUUUUCCAUCCACACACAUCUGAUACCCAUCGUACCGAUCUUCCGAUUACCUUCCUCCAGGACAUUCCUCCGCCACGACCCGAGGAGGGAUCGUCGAGGCAGCCUUUUGGCCACAUACCAUUUAUGUCAGGAGAUGCUCAAUUUAUACCGCAGAUUCCUUAUCCUGGUUUUGUUCCACCCAUGUCGUCUACUGUACCUGUCACGUCUCCCUUUCCCCAUACUACUUUACCGUUUAUAUCUGCCCCACACACUACUUAUCCAGUUUCAGCUCCGAUGGUGAGCCAUUUCUAUGGACAUCGCCCCAUGUUAUGCCAUUAUCCGACCCUUAUCACCCAUUUAACGGCGGAUACACUACAGAGGACACACUUACGUCACUGCAGCUACAGCAGGACGCCCUGAGUCGAUGUAUUCAGGAGUUGGAGAGAGCUCCACGUCCUCCAUGCCACUGCCAGACCCCGUUUGCAGCACCACACACUCCUUUUCCAUCACUCUCUGAUUCAGAUAUUCGUUUCCUUCCUCUUGACCAGCAGGUUGCUUACCUGCUGCGUUUCGCCUAUGCCCUUGAGGAGGACUUGGUGCAUUUGCGCCGGUUGCUUUUCUCUCACUUUCCACCUCCUCCGCCGCCAUCAACAUAGCUACUUUUGGUUUAUUGCAGGUAGUGAUUACUUUUGAUGAGAAGACAACGAUUGAGGCAGACUAUACAGCAUUUUGAAGACCACAUUUCGACAUUAUGACUUUGGAUAUUUGAUUUUUGCUUGUUGUAUUUGUCUAGACAGUUCAGACAAGGGCAUUGUGACCCUUAGUCUCUUUUGGGUUGUACGAUACAUUUGGAAAAGCUUGUAAACAUUGUAUUGUGGUCUUGAUUAUAUGAAAGCUCAAUCGCGGUAUUCUCAUUA